UGCCAGCCGCCGCGGUAAUACGUAAGUCGCAAGCGUUAUCCGGAAUUACUGGGCGUAAAGCGCACGUAGGCGGCAAUGUAAGUUGGGGGUGAAAUCCCGGGGCUCAACCCCGGAACUGCCUCCAAAACUACAUAGCUAGAGGAUGUGAGAGGAUAGUGGAAUUCCGAGUGUAGAGGUGAAAUUCGUAGAUAUUGGGAAGAACACCAGUGGCGAAGGCGGCUAACUGGCUCGGUACUGACGCUGAGAUGCGAAAGCGUGGGGAGCAAACAGGAUUAGAUA
This 279-nucleotide ribosomal RNA is filed under the name uncultured bacterium. RNAcentral's name for it is "partial 16S ribosomal RNA". It matches the Rfam family "Bacterial small subunit ribosomal RNA", at positions 506 to 784 of the family's 1533-position model. The record is from RNAcentral.